Molecule: ribosomal RNA, 497 nt
Filed under: uncultured bacterium
Lineage: Bacteria
Description: partial 16S ribosomal RNA
Rfam family: Bacterial small subunit ribosomal RNA
Source: RNAcentral
GAUGAACGCUGGCGGCGUGCCUAAUACAUGCAAGUCGAGCGAACAGAUGAGGAGCUUGCUCCUCUGACGUUAGCGGCGGACGGGUGAGUAACACGUGGAUAACCUACCUAUAAGACUGGGAUAACUUCGGGAAACCGGAGCUAAUACCGGAUAAUAUAUUGAACCGCAUGGUUCAAUAGUGAAAGACGGUUUUGCUGUCACUUAUAGAUGGAUCCGCGCCGCAUUAGCUAGUUGGUAAGGUAACGGCUUACCAAGGCGACGAUGCGUAGCCGACCUGAGAGGGUGAUCGGCCACACUGGAACUGAGACACGGUCCAGACUCCUACGGGAGGCAGCAGUAGGGAAUCUUCCGCAAUGGGCGAAAGCCUGACGGAGCAACGCCGCGUGAGUGAUGAAGGUCUUCGGAUCGUAAAACUCUGUUAUUAGGGAAGAACAAAUGUGUAAGUAACUAUGCACGUCUUGACGGUACCUAAUCAGAAAGCCACGACUAACUACGUG